This 335-nucleotide unclassified non-coding RNA is filed under the name soil metagenome. RNAcentral's name for it is "partial contains 5.8S ribosomal RNA, internal transcribed spacer 2, and large subunit ribosomal RNA". The stretch from base 1 to 120 matches the Rfam family "5.8S ribosomal RNA", at positions 35 to 154 of the family's 154-position model. The record is from RNAcentral.
GAUGAAGAACGCAGCGAAUUGCGAUAAGUAAUGUGAAUUGCAGAAUUCAGUGAAUCAUCGAAUCUUUGAACGCACAUUGCGCCCGCCAGUAUUCUGGCGGGCAUGCCUGUUCGAGCGUCAUUUCAACCAUCAAGCCCCCGGCUUGUGUUGGGGACCUGCGGCUGCCGCAGGCCCUGAAAAGCAGUGGCGGGCUCGCUGUCACACCGAGCGUAGUAGAUUUCAUCUCGCUCAGGGCGUGCUGCGGGUUCCGGCCGUUAAACCACCUUCAUAACCCAAGGUUGACCUCGGAUCAGGUAGGAAGACCCGCUGAACUUAAGCAUAUCAAUAACGGAGGA